Molecule: ribosomal RNA, 939 nt
Filed under: Phyllozyma linderae
Lineage: Eukaryota; Fungi; Basidiomycota; Spiculogloeomycetes; Spiculogloeales; Spiculogloeaceae
Description: LSU rRNA
Rfam family: Eukaryotic large subunit ribosomal RNA
Source: RNAcentral
AAAUGUCAAUAAGCGGAGGAAAAGAAAACAAUAGUGAUGCCUCUAGUAACGGCGAGUGAAGCAGGCAAAGCCCAACUUUAAAAUCUGGCGCUUUCAGCGUCCGAGUUGUAGUCUCGAGAAGCAUGGCUCGUGUCGGUCCGCGUCAAACUGGUUCGGAUGCCAGGUCAUAGAGGGUGACAAUCCCGUUGGCAACGCGGCCUCCCGAUGCAUCAGCAGUCUGCUCUCCAAGAGUCGAGUUGUUUGGGAAUGCAGCUCUAAUUAGGUGGUAAAUUCCAUCCAAGGCUAAAUAUCGGCGGGAGACCGAUAGCGAACAAGUACCGUGAGGGAAAGAUGAAAAGCACUUUGGAAAGAGAAUGAAAGAGUAUGUGAAAUUGCUGGAAGGGAAACGCUUGAAGUCAGACACGCGCGGGGGUAUUCAGCUCGGUUCGCCGGGUGCAUUUGCCCUCAUUGCGCGCCAGCAUCGGUUCGUGGGGCCGCAGCAGCGAGGUGGCAAUGUGGCCGUCUCCGGGCGGUGUUACAGGCCGCCGUUGUGGUCGGACCCGUGGACCGAGGAUCGCAGCGCGCCGCAAGGCAGCCCUCGAGGGGGUAGAGCGCUUAGGAUGCUGGCGGAAUGGCUUUAAACGACCCGUCUUGAAACACGGACCAAGGAGUCUAACAUGCUCGCGAGUGUUUGGGUGUCAAACCCGAGCGCGUAAUGAAAGUGAAUGGAGGUCGGAUGCGCAAGCUGCACGAUCGACCGAAUCGGAUUCUUUGAUGAUGGUUUUGAGUAAGAGCGCGUAUGUUGGGACCCGAAAGAUGUGUGAGCUAUGUCUGCAUAGGGCGAAGCCAGAGGAAACUCUGGUGGAGGCUCGUAGCGGUUCUGACGUGCAAAUCGAUCGUCAAAUGUGGAUAUAGGGGCGAAAGACUAAUCGAACCAUCUAGUAGCUGGUUCCUGCCGAA